This 253-nucleotide ribosomal RNA is filed under the name uncultured bacterium. RNAcentral describes it as "partial 16S ribosomal RNA". It matches the Rfam family "Bacterial small subunit ribosomal RNA", at positions 524 to 776 of the family's 1533-position model. The record is from RNAcentral.
UACGUAGGGUCCGAGCGUUGUCCGGAUUUAUUGGGCGUAAAGAGCGUGUAGGCGGCCAUGUAGGUCCGUUGUGAAAACUCGAGGCUCAACCUCGAGACGCCGAUGGAAACCAUGUGGCUAGAGUCCGGAAGAGGAGAGUGGAAUUCCUGGUGUAGCGGUGAAAUGCGCAGAUAUCAGGAAGAACACCCGUGGCUAAGGCGGCUCUCUAGUACGGUACUGACGCUGAGACGCGAAAGCGUGGGGAGCGAACAGG